CAUUUUUCCCAAAAAAAAAAAAAGAAGGUGUCUCAAUUUUUUUCAUUUUCCCGCUCUUCAUCUUCUUCCCUCACAUUCUGUCUCCGUCGUUCCGCGAAACGAAGAAACUCACUGCACACUCGCUCACCCAUCUCUUUUGUGCCUCUCUCCUCUUCCUUGUCGCCGCUGCGCUCUGCUCUUCCUCCUUCCCCCACCGCCGUCACGCUCUGCUCUCCCCUUAUCUCUUCUAGACCUUACAUAUAGUUGCAGAACUAUGCAAAGUUGAUGAUGGGAGAUGAUAAAUAGCCGGCGAAGGUGAUGGGAAUAGCAGUAGAGAAAAAGAUCAGGAGCUUCUCAUACCAUCGUUGACUGUUCCGGCAUCCAUGACGAUUCUUCUAAAGUUAUCCCUUUCGUUUAUUCUUCCCACCUUUAUGGGUGAGAGGUAGUGCAUGUUAAGAUAAUCAAGCUAGCGCUACGACUUGCGUACAUCAAUCUCAAUGCCUUCAGUCUACUAUCUCAGAGCUUUGCUUUUACAGAGGAAAUCCAUGCUUUGCACAGGCUAUCAAUGCCGUGUUCGGGUUGCUUUAUUCUGGUAAUCUGCCUUGUUCCUGGGUCAAGGUUCAAUGUGGUUUAUCACUACCAGCCCUGAACACGAACCGAGAUUCCACCAUAAGGAAUCCUCCAGCUUUUUCAGGUUUUUUGUAUUUCAUUCCUUUCCCAAGAUUGUCAUGUUGCUAGUAAAUCGUUUCUCACCUUAUCUAUUAUUGCACCUUUUAUCAAACUUUCAGGGGAGUCCAGGGAUGUUACGACAUUAAUGCAGAAAAAACUCGUGAAGAGAACUGGACUUGAAGGGUAUCCAGUUGCUUUACAGCCAAGUACAUUUUUUAUGAUGUAUUCAACAAUCCGAGGAGCAACCCUUCACUACGGAGGAGAUAAAUGAAGUUCGAGAUAAUUUGGCAAACUUCAUUAAGAGAUUGUCUUUGAUAUUUUCUUGUAGUGAAUCAUAGAUUGUGAAUGCUAGUUUUCCAUAUGAUUGUAGUGUAAUCGAUUUUUAUAUUUACAAUUAUAUACUAUGUAAUUUAAUUAUCUAUAUAAUUGGAUACUUGUUUUAUGUGA
Long non-coding RNA from Spinacia oleracea (spinach), 1095 nucleotides. RefSeq lists it as uncharacterized. The record is from RefSeq and is a predicted model, not a curated record. The transcript has 6 exons. NCBI's taxonomy places the organism in Eukaryota, Viridiplantae, Streptophyta, Magnoliopsida, Caryophyllales, Amaranthaceae.